This is a small nucleolar RNA of Lemur catta (Ring-tailed lemur), 103 nucleotides long. RefSeq annotates it as small nucleolar RNA U13. The transcript has a single exon. The record is from RefSeq and is a predicted model, not a curated record. Lineage: Eukaryota; Metazoa; Chordata; Mammalia; Primates; Lemuridae.
AUCCUUUUGUAGUUCAUAAGCAUGAUGAUCCUGUUUUCACACUGAUGUAUGAAAUGUGCUCCCUCAAACUUUGUUACGAUGUCAGCACACUACCUGACUGACA